Non-coding RNA from Equus caballus (horse), 637 nucleotides. NCBI's taxonomy places the organism in Eukaryota, Metazoa, Chordata, Mammalia, Perissodactyla, Equidae. The record is from RefSeq and is a predicted model, not a curated record.
GGCCAGGCGAGCGAGGAGGGAGCGGAGCUUUAGGAAGAAGAGUAAAUAUGGAUGCAAUUUAUCACCCGAGAGCCGGGCUAUCAGAGACCAACGCGUCAGUUAAAUAAAACAGACCCCGAGACCCGCCAGCAGGAUUGACCCCGAAGGAAUUCGCCAAUUUGCUCAUCAGCGAUGGGAGCCUGUGAACCCAUUAGCAGCAGGAAUGUGGUGUCACGUGGGACCCGCGCAGGAGCCGCAGAAACCGAGAGAAACGUCCAGAGAGACCUCGACAGGCGAUCGCAUGGGGGCUGAAAGCUGAUCAGCGCAGGCUGCUGGUAACUUCCCCGACAAGCCUUGAUGGAAAACUGCGGAGCCCCGAGACGCUGCGGGUUCCAGAACCUCGGCCCUCCUCCGUCUGCAUCCCAGCGCGUUCUAGCACCCGGGUGACAACGCAUCCUACUGUCUGUACUCGAAAGUCACGUCGUUCCACCACUGCAGCCGUCUGCCCGGCUGCCGAGAGCUCGUAUAUAAAUAUCCGUGCGUGUGCGUUUGUGUGUACAUUUCUUGACAUAUUUACGGAGUCUCCGCUUGCCAACCUUGGGGGCAUAAUGCAGGAACCAUCUUUCAUCCUAAUCUGCUGUAAUGACAUGUUUUAUUA